UUGAUAGAGGCGCGGCGCUCAUCAGUACCUCUCCCCAGCGGCAGGCACGCCGGGAGUGGGAAAGGGAUCGCCGCCGAAGGGUCCGGUGGGUGCACCUCCGCUGGACGCCUGGGCCGCAGGAAAAGAUCCUGUGGACUGCCAUUUUUCGUAAAUGGAGCGCUAUCA
Molecule: non-coding RNA, 165 nt
Filed under: bovine gut metagenome
Description: Lysine riboswitch
Rfam family: Lysine riboswitch aptamer
About the family: Riboswitches are metabolite binding domains within certain messenger RNAs that serve as precision sensors for their corresponding targets. Allosteric rearrangement of mRNA structure is mediated by ligand binding, and this results in modulation of gene expression.
Source: RNAcentral